Molecule: ribosomal RNA, 252 nt
Filed under: Anaerotruncus colihominis DSM 17241
Lineage: Bacteria; Bacillati; Bacillota; Clostridia; Eubacteriales; Oscillospiraceae
Also listed under: 1 other name
Description: partial 16S ribosomal RNA
Rfam family: Bacterial small subunit ribosomal RNA
Source: RNAcentral
UACGUAGGGAGCAAGCGUUGUCCGGAAUUACUGGGUGUAAAGGGAGCGUAGGCGGGAUGGCAAGUAGAAUGUUAAAUCCAUCGGCUCAACCGGUGGCUGCGUUCUAAACUGCCGUUCUUGAGUGAAGUAGAGGCAGGCGGAAUUCCUAGUGUAGCGGUGAAAUGCGUAGAUAUUAGGAGGAACACCAGUGGCGAAGGCGGCCUGCUGGGCUUUAACUGACGCUGAGGCUCGAAAGCGUGGGGAGCAAACAGG